UGCCUACGGGGGGCAGCAGUGGGGAAUAUUGCACAAUGGGGGAAACCCUGAUGCAGCGACGCCGCGUGAGUGAAGAAGUAUUUCGGUAUGUAAAGCUCUAUCAGCAGGGAAGAAAAUGACGGUACCUGACUAAGAAGCCCCGGCUAACUACGUGCCAGCAGCCGCGGUAAUACGUAGGGGGCAAGCGUUAUCCGGAUUUACUGGGUGUAAAGGGAGCGUAGACGGCGCGGCAAGUCUGAAGUGAAAGUCAGGGGCUUAACCCCUUAACUGCUUUG
This 275-nucleotide ribosomal RNA is filed under the name uncultured bacterium. RNAcentral's name for it is "partial 16S ribosomal RNA". It matches the Rfam family "Bacterial small subunit ribosomal RNA", at positions 335 to 628 of the family's 1533-position model. The record is from RNAcentral.